RNAcentral lists this ribosomal RNA (253 nucleotides) under uncultured bacterium. RNAcentral describes it as "partial 16S ribosomal RNA". It matches the Rfam family "Bacterial small subunit ribosomal RNA", at positions 524 to 776 of the family's 1533-position model. The record is from RNAcentral.
UACAGAGGUCUCAACCGUUGUUCGGAUUCAUUGGGCGUAAAGGGUGCGUAGGCGGUCGCGCAAGUCGGAUGUGAAAUCUCAGGGCUCAACCCUGAAACUGCAUUCGAUACUGCGUGGCUAGAGUGCUGGAGAGGAGACUGGAAUUUACGGUGUAGCAGUGAAAUGCGUAGAUAUCGUAAGGAAGACCAGUGGCGAAGGCGGGUCUCUGGACAGUUCCUGACGCUGAGGCACGAAGGUCAGGGGAGCAAACGGG